This 252-nucleotide ribosomal RNA is filed under the name uncultured bacterium. Its description in RNAcentral is "partial 16S ribosomal RNA". It matches the Rfam family "Bacterial small subunit ribosomal RNA", at positions 524 to 776 of the family's 1533-position model. The record is from RNAcentral.
UACGUAGGGUCCGAGCGUUGUUCGGAAUUACUGGGCGUAAAGGCUCGUAGGUGGCCAACUAAGUCAGACGUGAAAUCCCUCGGCUUAACCGGGGAACUGCAUCUGAUACUGGAUGGCUUGAGUUUGGGAGAGGGACGCGGAAUUCCAGGUGUAGCGGUGAAAUGCGUAGAUAUCUGGAGGAACACCGGUGGCGAAGGCGGCGUCCUGGACCAACACUGACACUGAGGAGCGAAAGCCAGGGGAGCAAACGGG